RNAcentral lists this ribosomal RNA (501 nucleotides) under uncultured bacterium. RNAcentral describes it as "partial 16S ribosomal RNA". It matches the Rfam family "Bacterial small subunit ribosomal RNA", at positions 30 to 523 of the family's 1533-position model. The record is from RNAcentral.
AUUGAACGCUGGCGGCAGGCUUAACACAUGCAAGUCGAGCGGAGAUGAGGUGCUUGCACCUUAUCUUAGCGGCGGACGGGUGAGUAAUGCUUAGGAAUCUGCCUAUUAGUGGGGGACAACAUUCCGAAAGGAAUGCUAAUACCGCAUACGUCCUAUGGGAGAAAGCAGGGGAUCUUCGGACCUUGCGCUAAUAGAUGAGCCUAAGUCGGAUUAGCUAGUUGGGGGUGUAAAGGCCUACCAAGGCGACGAUCUGUAGCGGGUCUGAGAGGAUGAUCCGCCACACUGGGACUGAGACACGGCCCAGACUCCUACGGGAGGCAGCAGUGGGGAAUAUUGGACAAUGGGGGAAACCCUGAUCCAGCCAUGCCGCGUGUGUGAAGAAGGCCAUAUGGUUGUAAAGCACUUUAAGCGAGGAGGAGGCUACUGAGACUAAUACUCUUGGAUAGUGGACGUUACUCGCAGAAUAAGCACCGGCUAACUCUGUGCCAGCCGCCGCGGUAA